GACGAACGCUGGCGGCGUGCCUAAUACAUGCAAGUCGAACGAGAGCGACCGGUGCUUGCACUGGUCAAUCUAGUGGCGAACGGGUGAGUAACACGUGGGUAACCUGCCCAUCAGAGGGGGAUAACUUCGGGAAACGGUUGCUAAAACCGCAUAGUUUUUGGACCCGCAGGGUUGAAGGGGGAAAGAAGGGCAAGCUUUUGCUGAUGGAUGGACCCGCGGUGCAUUAGCUAGUUGGUGAGGUAACGGCUCACCAAGGCCGUGAUGCAUAGCCGACCUGAGAGGGUGAUCGGCCACAUUGGGACUGAGACACGGCCCAAACUCCUACGGGAGGCAGCAGUAGGGAAUCUUCCGCAAUGGACGCAAGUCUGACGGAGCAACGCCGCGUGAGUGAAGAAGGUUUUCGGAUCGUAAAACUCUGUUGUUAGAGAAGAACAAGUGCUAGAGUAACUGUUAGCGACUUGACGGUAUCUAACCAGAGAGCCACGGCUAACUACGUG
RNAcentral lists this ribosomal RNA (497 nucleotides) under uncultured bacterium. RNAcentral's name for it is "partial 16S ribosomal RNA". It matches the Rfam family "Bacterial small subunit ribosomal RNA", at positions 28 to 507 of the family's 1533-position model. The record is from RNAcentral.